RNAcentral lists this ribosomal RNA (414 nucleotides) under uncultured microorganism. RNAcentral describes it as "bacterial SSU rRNA". It matches the Rfam family "Archaeal small subunit ribosomal RNA", at positions 459 to 872 of the family's 1478-position model. The record is from RNAcentral.
CAGCCGCCGCGGUAAUACCGGCGGCCCGAGUAGUGGCCGCUAUUAUUGGGCCUAAAGCGUCCGUAGCCGGGCCCGUAAGUCCCUGGCGAAAUCCCACGGCUCAACCGUGGGGCUUGCUGGGGAUACUGCGGGCCUAGGGAGCGGGAGAGGCCGAGGGUAUUCCCGGAGUAGGGGUGAAAUCCUAUAAUCCCGGGAGGACCACCUGUGGCGAAGGCGCUCGGCUGGAACGCGUCCGACGGUGAGGGACGAACGCCAGGGGAGCAAACCGGAUUAGAUGCCCGGGUAGUCCUGGCUGUAAACGAUGCGGACUGUGUGUCGGACAAGCUAUGAGCUUGUCCGGUGCCGGAGGGAAACCGUUAAGUCCGCCGCCUGGGGAGUACGGCCGCAAGGCUGAAACUUAAAGGAAUUGGCGGG